This 301-nucleotide ribosomal RNA is filed under the name uncultured bacterium. RNAcentral describes it as "partial 16S ribosomal RNA". It matches the Rfam family "Bacterial small subunit ribosomal RNA", at positions 509 to 807 of the family's 1533-position model. The record is from RNAcentral.
CAGCCGCCACGGUAAUACGAAGGGGGCUAGCGUUGCUCGGAAUUACUGGGCGUAAAGGGAGCGUAGGCGGACAUUUAAGUCAGGGGUGAAAUCCCAGAGCUCAACUCUGGAACUGCCUUUGAUACUGGGUGCCUUGAGUGUGAUAGAGGUAUGUGGAACUCCGAGUGUAGAGGUGAAAUUCGUAGAUAUUCGGAAGAACACCAGUGGCGAAGGCGACAUACUGGAUCAUUACUGACGCUGAGGCUCGAAAGCGUGGGGAGCAAACAGGAUUAGAUACCCCUGUAGUCCCUGUCUCUUAUAC